GAGGCGUAGCUAAACACAAAGCACUCAGCUUACACCUGAGAGAUAUCUGCUCACUCCACAGGUCGCCUUGAA
This 72-nucleotide transfer RNA is filed under the name Bycanistes brevis (silvery-cheeked hornbill). RNAcentral's name for it is "tRNA-Val". The record is from RNAcentral. Lineage: Eukaryota; Metazoa; Chordata; Aves; Bucerotiformes; Bucerotidae.